This 446-nucleotide ribosomal RNA is filed under the name uncultured bacterium. RNAcentral describes it as "bacterial SSU rRNA". It matches the Rfam family "Bacterial small subunit ribosomal RNA", at positions 330 to 792 of the family's 1533-position model. The record is from RNAcentral.
UCCAGACUCCUACGGGAGGCAGCAGUGGGGGAUAUUGCACAAUGGGGGGAACCCUGAUGCAGCGACGCCGCGUGGGUGAAGGAGCGUUUCGGCGCGUAAAGCCCUAUCGGCAGGGAAGAAGGAGGACGGUACCUGACUAAGAAGCCCCGGCUAACUACGUGCCAGCAGCCGCGGUAAUACGUAGGGGGCAAGCGUUAUCCGGAUUUACUGGGUGUAAAGGGGGCGCAGACGGCAGCGCAAGCCAGGAGUGAAAGCCCGGGGCCCAACCCCGGGACUGCAUUGGAAACUGUUUAUCUAGAGUGUCGGAGAGGCAAGUGGAAUUCCUAGUGUAGCGGUGAAAUGCGUAGAUAUUAGGAGGAACACCAGUGGCGAAGGCGGCUUGCUGGACGAUGACUGACGUUGAGGCUCGAAAGCGUGGGGAGCAAACAGGAUUAGAUACCCCGGUA